GCACCCUUAGCUCAGUGGAUAGUCAGCAAUGUCCUUCUAAGACAUGGGUCAAAGGUUCGAAUCCUUUAGGGUGCG
RNAcentral lists this transfer RNA (75 nucleotides) under Caudoviricetes sp. Its description in RNAcentral is "tRNA-Arg". It matches the Rfam family "tRNA". Rfam says of the family: Transfer RNA (tRNA) molecules are approximately 80 nucleotides in length. Their secondary structure includes four short double-helical elements and three loops (D, anti-codon, and T loops). The record is from RNAcentral. Lineage: Duplodnaviria; Heunggongvirae; Uroviricota; Caudoviricetes.